GUUGCACAUCAUCUUCCUCAACUAUGAGGCGGCCUUGCUUUUUACCAACCUAGAUAACCUGGAAUUAAUCAAUGAAAGCAUCAGUCAAUUGAAGCUUGAUAAUAACAUAAUGCAUGACUACUUUGAAGCAAAGGUUAAGUAACUACAGAUUAGAACAUAUUAAGCUUGACCUAUACUUUUUAAUUAAUAAUCACUUUACCGGCCUCCAUGACAUAUACUGACAUGGUAUAAUGACAAAAUAACAUACUUUUUUUCUUUCUAAAUUGCAUAAUUGAAAAGAAGCAUGAACUACAAGCAAAAAAAAGAACCAAGCAUUACAUAUUAGGCAGAGCAUGUGACAUUCAUUGGCAAGCAUGCUAGUACCUUUGGACCGCCUAUAGGUAUACUCCUGUGGGCGCUGGCUGGUGGCCGACAUUAUCAUGAGAUCAUAACAUUCUUCUCUUUUGUUUCUCAUUUUCGUUUUCAUUUUAUUUCUCUUCCCUGCUCAAUUAGCAUGCUCUCAAAC
RNAcentral lists this long non-coding RNA (505 nucleotides) under Triticum aestivum (bread wheat). RNAcentral's name for it is "long non-coding RNA (TAES_LNC008056)". Lineage: Eukaryota; Viridiplantae; Streptophyta; Magnoliopsida; Poales; Poaceae. The record is from RNAcentral.